ACGAACGCUGGCGGCGUGCUUAACACAUGCAAGCCGAACGGAAAGGCCCUGCUUUUGUGGGGUGCUCGAGUGGCGAACGGGUGAGUAACACGUGAGUAACCUGCCCUUGACUUUGGGAUAACUUCAGGAAACUGGGGCUAAUACUGGAUAGGAGCUCCUGCUGCAUGGUGGGGGUUGGAAAGUUUCGGCGGUUGGGGAUGGACUCGCGGCUUAUCAGCUUGUUGGUGGGGUAGUGGCUUACCAAGGCUUUGACGGGUAGCCGGCCUGAGAGGGUGACCGGCCACAUUGGUACUGAGAUACGGCCCAGACUCCUACGGGAGGCAGCAGUGGGGAAUAUUGCACAGUGGGCGGAAGCCUGAUGCAGCAACGCCGCGUGCGGGAUGACGGCCUUCGGGUUGUAAACCGCUUUCGCCUGUGACGAAGCGUGAGUGACGGUAAUGGGUAAAGAAGCACCGGCUAACUACGUG
This 467-nucleotide ribosomal RNA is filed under the name uncultured bacterium. RNAcentral's name for it is "partial 16S ribosomal RNA". It matches the Rfam family "Bacterial small subunit ribosomal RNA", at positions 29 to 507 of the family's 1533-position model. The record is from RNAcentral.